Sipha flava (yellow sugarcane aphid) is the source of this 1074-nucleotide long non-coding RNA. RefSeq lists it as uncharacterized. The transcript is spliced from 3 exons. The record is from RefSeq and is a predicted model, not a curated record. NCBI's taxonomy places the organism in Eukaryota, Metazoa, Arthropoda, Insecta, Hemiptera, Aphididae.
AUAACGUAUAAAUAUUUAAAUUUUUAUUCAACACGACUGAUGUGAAGUUUUGUUUAAUCUACGAUAUCUGUACAACUGUACUUUUACUACCGAUUAUGAAUUACUAAAUAUUAUAUACAUUUGUUUUAUUUUUGUUUUAAUUAUCCCUUAUUGUUAAUUUAUUAAUAAUGGUAAAUAAAUGUGUAGUUCAGGGUUGUAAGACUACUACUGUCAAAGGAUAAAAAGUGCAUGUGUAAAUAUUACAUAUUAUUAUUAGGCUAUAUUCUUAAUUUCUUAAAAAUGUAUUUUUUUUUAUUUUUUAUUAGGAUACCCAAAGUUAAUAUUGGUCAGUUAUGGAUCCAGGCUAUAAAAUAGUAUCAGCCAAAUGUUGUGCCAAAAUCUCGGUAAAUUGUGUGUAAUUUGCAUUUUUUAAAUUCAAUCACAAUCAUAAUAUUGUUGGCGAAAAAUUAAUGCUCAAUAAGUUUGCUGUAACAAAUAUUUUGAAGCCAUUAGUGAAAAUAAUGAUUUGUUAUAGUGUUAUAGACUUUCAUAUACCACAUGUAAUAUUACACUUGAAUUCAAGUAAUAGUUAAUUAGUAUGUAUGUGGUAGUAAUCAUAACCCUAUUUCUAGAUAUCACCAAAACAACAGGUGUGGCACCCUAUGACAUCAAUUAAACCAUAUAAAAGAAAGAUGAAAAUUACCAUAAUUAAGAUUAAUUCUAGUCAUGGAACUGCAAGCAACUUCACGUCAAUUUGUAUCAGAUUUGUUUAACACUGAAUUAUUUAAUUAACGUAUUAUAAAAAGUUUAAGUCUCUUAUUUAAUUGAAAAUUAUACAUCAUCAACUGCUCAAUUGAAAUCGAACUGGUGGCACUUAAUAAGAGGAAACUAUAGUAACACUGAAUAAUUUGCCUUCAACUAGUAGUUCCUGAUCAUGUUUGUUUCCAUUAUCAAUUGAAAAUUCCGGCAAGGAAUAUGAAGUUUCAUUAUCUGAAAAACUGUCAUGAAAAAGAAAAAGUUACAUACAUGUGGGAUACUAGGUGAAAUAAUUAUUAACGCGGAUUAAGAAAUAAUAUAACAAUGUAUUAAUAUACU